This 440-nucleotide ribosomal RNA is filed under the name uncultured bacterium. RNAcentral describes it as "partial 16S ribosomal RNA". It matches the Rfam family "Bacterial small subunit ribosomal RNA", at positions 338 to 795 of the family's 1533-position model. The record is from RNAcentral.
CCUACGGGGGGCAGCAGUGGGGAAUAUUGCACAAUGGGGGAAACCCUGAUGCAGCGACGCCGCGUGAGUGAAGAAGUAAUUCGUUAUGUAAAGCUCUAUCAGCAGGGAAGAAAAGGACGGUACCUGAGGAAGAAGCUCCGGCGAACUACGUGCCAGCAGCCGCGGUAAUACGUCGGGGGCAAGCGUUAUCCGGAUUUACUGGGUGUAACGGGAGCGUAGACGGCAGUGCCGGUCGGGAGUGACCGGCGGGGGCUCCACCCCCGGACUGCUCUGGAAACUGUACGGCUGGAGUGCAGGAGAGGUCAGUGGCAUUCCUCGUGUCGCGGUGAUAUGCGUAGCUAUUAGGAGGAACCCCAGUGGCGCAGGCGGCUUACUGGACUGUACCUGACGUUGAGGCUCGACCGCGUGGGGAGCAAACCGGAUUAGAUACCCGUGUAGUC